AAUGAAAACCACGUGAAUGGAAAGAUUUACAAUCAUGAAGAGCUUAGAAAAUAGCUUCCUAAUCAUACCUUCAGAACCGAAUGCGACUGUGAUGUUAUUGCACACCUGUAUGAGGAGCAUGGAGAGGGUUUUAUGGACAUGCUUGAUGGAAUAUUUUCUUGUUAAAAUAUUCUCAAGAUAUAGUUGUUACAACCGUAUUUUUAUAUAAUAUGCUAUUAACCUUUAUGUAUUCUUCUUCGUAUAUAUUUUUUUGUAAUCUUAAUAUAAAAGAAAAGAAUAUUCUAACCUUAAUUACUAUCUAUACCAUUGGAUGGAUUCCAAAAUAAAGGUAUAAUUUAAAGAUAUUCUUGUUUGCAUUAUUUUGUAAGCUAAAAUCUCUUGUAUAAUGUAUGAUUCAUGGAACUAGCAAGAGACUAAAGAGUCCAUUGAAAAAUGUCAUCUUGAUCAGUUAGAAGAAUUGCAAAAAAUUUGUGGAUCAAAUAAAAAGACUGCCAUGGAAAAUAAUCAUAGUAGUUGCAGGGCUCAAGGAGCAGCCUUACAAAAUCGAAAUGCAGGGCUCAAGGAGUAGUAUGAACCUUUUCUCUCUAGUAUGAGAAGCUAACAAGCAUAAGACAAGCCACAGCUUUCGCUCCGUGUAAGGAGAUUUGUCCCUUCAUUCCUUCCUUUCUGUUGCAGGGAAGUGUUAGGCAACAGUUAGCUCUCUCUAAUGAUAAGGUUCGCUAGUUGGAAGUCGAGUAAGCAAGGCAAAACUGACCGCUGCAGAUGGAACAAAGGCAAUCAAUCUAACAUUUUGUUUUAUUUUUUUAAUUGAUUCAAGCUGAUUUGUUGUAUUAUUUUUUAUAAACGCUAAUCUGUGGAGCAGAAAGUAGAAGAACUUGAACAAAGGCCAUGUUCUUCUCUUUAACAUGCAGUGGAUGAUGUUAAUGGCAGAAGGUUGAUCUUCUAUGAUUUUGGAAUCAUGGGAAGUAUCAGUCCAAAUAUCCGAGAAGGAUGACUGGAAGCUUUCUACGAGGUUUAUGAGAAGGAUCCAGACAAGGUCCUUCAAACAAUGAUUCAAAUGGGUGUCCUUUUUCCCAACUGGAGAUAUGACUGCUGUGAGAAGAACAACACAGUUCUUCCUCAAUAGUUUUAAAGAGCAUCUACCUGCACAAAGGAGAGAGAGAGAGAGAUGGCAAGAGCUGAACUUGGAUUCAAAAAGCCGUUAAGCAAGGAAGAAAAAGUAAUGAAGAAGAAAGAGCGUCUGACUGCCAUCGGUAAAUCAUCUGGAUGUGAGUUUUUUUGUCAUACAGAUUUGCGGAAUGAUCGUCCCUCUACAACACAAUUUAAGGAUAAACUUUCAUGGUUUCUUAGUUCUCUGCCUUCUGCUGAUUGUGCAAAAGGUAGAUCUGAAAGAUUUGGGUCAAAUUCAUUCUUUUAAGUCCUUUUUAUCUUGUUAAUUUCAAUUUAGCGAUGGGUUGGGUUAACCUGGAAGCCCAACUAGUUUAAGUUCCUGUGUGAAUACCAGCUGGGCUUAAUUUUGACAGAAACCUUCGAAAGAGUUAACUUUUUUUUCUAGUUAAUUGCUGGUUUUCAUGCUGGAACUUCUUCUGGGCUAGAACUUCUCCUUUUGGUAAUUAUGACAAAA
This is a non-coding RNA of Arachis ipaensis, 1624 nucleotides long. The record is from RefSeq and is a predicted model, not a curated record. NCBI's taxonomy places the organism in Eukaryota, Viridiplantae, Streptophyta, Magnoliopsida, Fabales, Fabaceae.